Long non-coding RNA from Gallus gallus (chicken), 3864 nucleotides. The record is from Ensembl. Lineage: Eukaryota; Metazoa; Chordata; Aves; Galliformes; Phasianidae.
ACAAAAUCUCAAGAGAAGAAGAGUGAGGAGGAAAACAAACCUGUAGAGGCUCUCCUAGUUGUCCCACAGCUUCAGUUCCAGCAUAGGUCCUCUGCCCAGCAUUUGAGAUGCUUCAGUUUGCUCUUCCUGCUUCUCCUCAUGUCCACCAGCUCAGCUUCUGUCCACGCAGUCCUUCAACCUCCUGUCCCAUAGAGGAGCCAGGCUGUAUCAAGGUGGAUCUGGCUCCCACAAGCAAGUCUCUCAUGCCGUAAGAUCCCCUCACACUGUGGGAAGGUGCUCAAAGCAGCAUGGCAAGAAGCUAAGAGGAUGGGAAAAAGAAGGCAGAAGUCUUGGAAGGCUUGUUUCUGCAAGUCUCUCAUCGCUCUGAGAGUGCUAAGAAUUAUACAUCCAGGACAGCAAUUCACACAUUCAACAUUCAUGCUGGAAGACGUUGGCACUGGAAGCAUUGCAAUAAGAAUGACUUACAAUGUGAUGAAAAAGAACAGCUGGAGUCCUCUAGCUUCUGUCUGUGAUAUGGGUCCAGAAUCAGAGGUGAGCAUCUCUUGUCUGUUUGAUGGCCACCUGAAAUGACUUCAUAGAAUCAUUAAGUUUGGAAAAGGCCUCUAAGAUCAACAAGUCCAACCAUCAACCCAUCAUCACCAUGCCUGUAGCACAAAGCAAUGCAGGACAGGCAUUUCUAGCGAUCAGCAUCCUUAUCACAAAAGGAGAAGAUGGAUAACUCACAAAGGCAGCAGCUGUGUUUCACUCCCAAGUAGCACCUGGGACACCUAAGGCUGGCUGGUAAAAGCAGGAAGCACUGAGACUUAUGCUUAAAAAUUCAGAAAGGACCGCCGGGUGCAGAAGCAGAAGAUGAGGCAGUGGCACAGCAUUUUCCUGAAAUGCAACAUUAGUUCCCUUGUAGAGAUGGAUGAAGGAGAAGUUUUGAAGCAGCUGUCCCCACUGCACACUUCUGUGGUUAAAUUCAGUCUCCUUUUCUGAAGCACUGACAUGGGCAGAGAUGCUUAGCUGCCUCCUCCUGUCUGCCUCCAGAGGGAUGGAGGCACAGACAUUAUGACAAUGGCGGUCCAGCUGCCAUCAGUAUCAAAAUAGAUGUGAAAUGCAGGGAACUGGUGGCACACUGCAGAGAGUCAUGGUAAUGAUGUAACUUCACCCCAGGGAUGGGAACGCAUCAGUUCUGUACCCAGACUGCUGGACAGGGAUAGAACAUGCCCCAAGUGAGCAAAAGCAACAAUUGCCUUCUCUGCAGCUCCCUCCUGCAGCAGGUGAGCCACAGCUAUUACCAUAAGGCCAACAAGUGUUUAACAAAAGCCUGUCUUCGGGUAUGCUCUGCUUUGCUGUCUGCGCGGCUGUGCGAGGCAGAUUGCUGGCUCUUAUUAGCUAAAUAAACAAGCAGCAAAAGUUGAGCGGAAUGGAAGCACAUACACAGCUUGUCUGCAAAUAGAGACAAACGCCUCCAUCGCAUGGUUGCACCCAGCUGUCUGGCUGUUACCUGCUUAAAUGGCUUUAAUUUCACAUUAAGGUCAGCACAGGCAGAGCUUCUCCUCCAGGGUGGAAAACCUGGCUAAUGAGACACUCAGGUUUGUACUGAGCCUACGCUGAGUGCUUCAGGGAGCUCGGUCUUUGCCUGGGACCAAAGAGUUCCUAGCUUGGGUGCCAGGCUCACCAGCCAGACACUCCUCUGCCUUCUUGCUGAAAUUAUGGGCUACCUCCAAGUUCCAGGCAAGGUAUCCUCUAUGCAGAGAUCUCUGUCACUGCUUCAGCCCCACUGGGGCUCUGCUCCUUAGGCGGGCUGCCCUGUGCUGGCUCCAUUUCAGCAAAAGUUAUUCAUUCAGCUUGUGUAUCCCUCCCCUCUACCAUUUACACAGCCCAUGCUUUCCUCUAGGAGUAGAGUUGGGAUGAGUAAACUAUCUUUAUAUAUAGUCUGAGGGGCUUGGCUUUAACUCUCGUUUAUUACUCUUCCAUUUCCUUUAACUUCUCCUUUCCAAAGAUCAGAGUUCCUGGCCAAGUUCUAAUGCAGUCUGUGAGGGUGACAGACAGGGUUUUACUAUGAUUGCUGGUGCGUGGGAAGCCAUUCGUCUUGAACCACAUUCUCCAUGUUACCGAAGGCUAAAUCGAAAAAGACCCUCAUCUUGCAUGCCUUUGAAGGAACAAUUCUGAGGAUAAUUUAGAGUAUUGAGACAUUGAUUCACUAAACACUGUUGCCCUCCUUAUGUGUGGGCAGGCAAAGUCACCCAUUAUUGGUGAUUUAUUAGCUAUAGGAGCCUCUUUGAUCUUCUCCAACGUCGCGCACUCAAUAUCCUCCUCCCAUGAGGCAGAAGGGAGGAACAGCCCCAUCAAAACGCAUGCAUUAUUAUGACUUACGGUUUGCGUCCAUGGAUUGUCUCCAUGCAGGCACUGCACCGCGUCUCACUGGAUUCGGGGGAAUCUUUCUGAGCCCUACAAUAUAUGCAAAAAUAGAAGUUCCUCUUGGAGUGAAAAAUUAUGAUACCAGCACCUCUAAAUUGCUUUUAACGGCUUUCUGUGCUGCCUCUGGCUCAGAAGUGCUUAGUUUGCUGACAAAAAUCAUAGACUCACACACACUUGAGAUGGAAAAGCCCUGCUAGGUUCAGCUAGUCCAUUUCUCCUACCAGGGAAGGAACAUUCCCAGCAAUCUGUUUUCCCUACUACUUUAUCUUGUCUAUUUUUAAGUAUUCCAUGUAGCAAAAAUACAUUUAGAUUGUCAGGAUUUCAGAGCCAAGUUAGCUGUGGAAGUACCAGCUGUAGCCUAAUCUGCUUUGUCUGGUGGCAGCAGCUAAAUUGCUCUCUGCUGCCUUUGAAGUCAAUGGAAAAAGUCUUAUUGGCUUCUCUGGGAGCAUUCUCAGGCCUUUGGUACGGAUGAUUAGAGCAAAUAGCUACAGAGCACUGAUAAGCCAUUCUUACACUAUCACUUUCUAGGCCAUAACUGCAUUUUAAUAGGCAAGAAAUUGUCUCAGAGGCAGUCAGGGUGCAAUAAUAGCAACACCAUGUGGAGCACAGGGCAAACCGAGGCUUCACAGAAGUGGCUUCUGCAACGACCAUACAAAAUGACAUCCAAAAACCCAAACAGGUUUGGUGGAGUACAUGAUCUGGGGGGAAUGACCAGAGGCAGCCCCUUUUGGGCCUCAUCUCUCUACUCAACCUGCUGGAGCCAGUUCAGCUCAUAGGUAGUUUCAGCGUGCUUUUCCUUUCCAACAGAUUUUAACUUCAUGAAUGAAGGGAGCUCAGUGCAUCAGGGUACCUCUGCACAUACUUGGAUACAGUAUGGCGUGGGUGCAGCACUGCCCUGCUAUGUUGGCCAAACAAAGCGAAACAGGGAAAUGGUUUCAAACUAAAAGAGGGGAUAUAAGGAAAAGGUUUUUUUACAGUAAGGGCAGUGAGGCACUGGCACAGACUGCCCAGAAUGGUGGUGGGUGCCCCAUCCCUGCAGACAGCCAAGGUCAGGCUGGAUGGGCUCUGAGCACCUGAUGGAGCUGUGGGUGUCCCUGUUCAGUGCAGGGGGGUUGGACCAGAUGGCCUUUAAGGGUCCCUUCCAACUCAAACCAUUCUAUGAUUCUAAGUCUGGUUAUUCUGUCACACAAGUAGGAAGGUACUGUACAACCCUCAGUUCACCUUUGGAUGGAGCUGUGCUGUGAGAUGGAGCAGUGGCAGUGACACAGCAGCCAGACACAACGGCAGCAAAUCUCAGCCCUCUGCUUUCCCUUUCCACCUAAGUAACAAUGGCAGGUACUGCGAGCUGGGACUGGGUUUAAUUUAGAAGUUGUCCUCUGCUGGGAUAGCUUUCUCUGCCUCCGCAUUUCCUGUCUGGAAGUUCUCCCAAAAGGAUGAAUUAACCAACAUAUGACCUGU